RNAcentral lists this non-coding RNA (93 nucleotides) under Streptomyces scabiei 87.22. Its description in RNAcentral is "Streptomyces RNA 3202". It matches the Rfam family "Streptomyces RNA 3202". From Rfam's summary of the family: Identified by deep sequencing of transcriptome at the end of exponential growth phase. The record is from Rfam by way of RNAcentral. Lineage: Bacteria; Bacillati; Actinomycetota; Actinomycetes; Kitasatosporales; Streptomycetaceae.
CCAAGUCCCGACGCUCUCCCCCCAGCGCCGGGACUCUCCGAGAGCCGGGCCUCGGCGCCUCCCCCCCCCCUGGCGCCGAGGCCCGGCUUCUUU